UAGCCUAGUGGUUAAGGCUAUGGAUCGCCAUUCCGGAGACAACGGGUUCGAUUCCCGU
Aedes albopictus (Asian tiger mosquito) is the source of this 58-nucleotide non-coding RNA. NCBI's taxonomy places the organism in Eukaryota, Metazoa, Arthropoda, Insecta, Diptera, Culicidae. The record is from Rfam.